RNAcentral lists this ribosomal RNA (497 nucleotides) under uncultured bacterium. Its description in RNAcentral is "partial 16S ribosomal RNA". It matches the Rfam family "Bacterial small subunit ribosomal RNA", at positions 28 to 507 of the family's 1533-position model. The record is from RNAcentral.
GAUGAACGCUGGCGGCGUGCCUAAUACAUGCAAGUCGAGCGAACAGACGAGGAGCUUGCUCCUUUGACGUUAUCGGCGGACGGGUGAGUAACACGUAGUUAACCUACCUAUAAGACUGGGAUAACUUCGGGAAACCGGAUCUAAUACCGGAUAAUAUUUCGAACCUCAUGGUUCGAUAGUUAAAGAUGGCUUUUCUUUCACUUAUAGAUUGACCUGCACCGUAUUAGCUAGUUGGUAAGGUAACGGCUUACCAAGGCAACGAUACGUAGCCGACCUGAGAGGGUGAUCGGCCACACUGGAACUGAGAAACGGUACAGACUCCUACGGGAGGCAGCAGUAGGGAAUCUUCCGCAAUGGGCGAAAGCCUGACGGAGCAACGCCGCGUGAGUGAUGAAGGUCUUCGGAUCGGAAAACUCUGUUAUUAGGGAAGAACAAACGUGUAAGUAACUGUGCACGUCUUGACGGUACCUAAUCAGAAAGCCACGGCUAACUACGUG